CAGUAGCCGCGGUAAUACGUAGGGUGCAAGCGUUAAUCGGAAUUACUGGGCGUAAAGCGUGCGUAGGCGGUUCGUUAAGUCUGUUGUGAAAGCCCCGGGCUCAACCUGGGAAUGGCAAUGGAUACUGGCGAGCUAGAGUGUGUCAGAGGAUGGUGGAAUUCCCGGUGUAGCGGUGAAAUGCGUAGAGAUCGGGAGGAACAUCAGUGGCGAAGGCGGCCAUCUGGGACAACACUGACGCUGAGGCACGAAAGCGUGGGGAGCAAACAGGAUUAGAUACCCCUGUAGUCCCUGUCUCUUAUAC
RNAcentral lists this ribosomal RNA (301 nucleotides) under uncultured bacterium. RNAcentral's name for it is "partial 16S ribosomal RNA". It matches the Rfam family "Bacterial small subunit ribosomal RNA", at positions 509 to 807 of the family's 1533-position model. The record is from RNAcentral.